GGCUCUGUGGCGCAGUGGACAAGCGCGUUGGUCUUCUAAUUCAAAGGUUGUGGGUUCGAGUCCCACCAGAGUCG
Hippocampus zosterae (dwarf seahorse) is the source of this 74-nucleotide non-coding RNA. The record is from the annotation of a RefSeq genome assembly. NCBI's taxonomy places the organism in Eukaryota, Metazoa, Chordata, Actinopteri, Syngnathiformes, Syngnathidae.